UUGUUUUCCCCUAAAGGAUGUAAUGCUACAUGAUAUGGAUUCUGCCAAUGCACAACCUCAAGGUGCGCAAGAAUCGAUUGAUGAGUGCAAACAGUGGAUAUGGUGGCUUAGGAGUACAGGGACAGAAUCGAUUGAUGAGUGUUGUGCUUCCACAAGGUAUUGAAGUAUUUCUUUGUGGUGACAAGAGCUUCUUGAUUCAGGAUCUCCGUAGGUGAUUUCAAUGCUAGGGAACUCUUAUCCCAAUGCUGGUGGUCCACUUUCACAAAGCCAUGUUAUGGAUAUGUUGAAUGAUGUAAACUCAAGUGAUAAUUCUCGUUUUGACAUGAAUGACUUCCCUCAACUGACUAGUCGACCUAGUUCUGCUGGAGGGCCUCAAGCACAAUUAGGUGCAAACGAAGAUUUCCAGCUUUGCCAGGAUUCAAAGGUGUAGUAACUGGAGAAGAUAUGUGACCUGAUUGGCUGUUAUGCAUUUCUUUCUAGCAAUUUUGGCUGUUUUAUGUUAUCAAAUAGUUUUUUUGUAUAGUUGCCUUAUGAUUUGUUGUUUAAAGAGUCUCUUCUUACAGAGUUGAGUUAUAGACUGAAUUAUGCACUUUCUCUUAUGAAAAGUUUUAUGGAUUUACGUGCA
Molecule: non-coding RNA, 625 nt
Organism: Arachis ipaensis
Lineage: Eukaryota; Viridiplantae; Streptophyta; Magnoliopsida; Fabales; Fabaceae
Source: RefSeq, a predicted model, not a curated record